AACCCCGUACAGACACAUAGAGACACAUAAACAGCGCUUCAUAGAAGCUCCACAGUGCCCCACAGAAGCCCUAGAGAGCCCCAUAGAGCCCCACAGUGCCCCACAGUGCCCCAUAGAAGCCCCACAGAGCCCCAUAAAGCCCCACAGUCUCCCGGCACGUCGCGGCCGCCAUUUUCAUACUGAAAAAUAGCGUCACUUCCGGCAAGGUGGAUUGUGGGAUAUAACGCGGCAUAACGCGGCAUCUGGAGGUCGCCAUUUUGAUCAUGCGCAGUAGCGUCGCUUCCGGUAUGGAGCAUUGUGGGAUAUAACGCGGCAUAACGAGGCACCUGGAGGUCGCCAUUUUUGUCAUGCGCAGUAGCGUCGCUUCCGGUAUGGUGCAUUGUGGGAUAUAACGCGGCAUAACGAGGCAUCUGGAGGUCGCCAUUUUGAUCAUGCGCAGUAGCGUCGCUUCCGGUAUGGUGCAUUGUGGGAUAUAACGUGGCAACCGGAAGUCGCCAUUUUGAUCAUGCGCAGUAGCAUAACUUCCGGCAAGGUAAAUUGUGGGAUAUAACGCGGCAUAACGAGGCACCUGGAGGUCGCCAUUUUGAUCAUGCGCAAUAGCGUCGCUUCCGGUAUGGUGUAUUGUGGGAUAUAACGUGGCAAUCGGCGGAGGGGAUUGUGGGAUAUCAGUGAGACCGCGUUCUUAUUUCCGGUUCCGGCUGUGGGGUGUGAAGAUCGAUUUCCGGCUGUCCGUUUCCGGUGUUUCUGUUAUGGGGUUGCGGGGGAUUCGGGGGUCCCGGUUGGAACCGGAACCGGCCGCUUAUUUACAACGGGAGUCACGAGGAGAUGGGGGAGGAGCCAGAGGGAACGCGGCGCCCCAUAGAGACCCACUGAGCCCCAUAGAGCCCCACAGUGAGGCUAUAAGGGUACGCAGCGCCAUUUAGGGGUCAAAUGCGGUUUUUUUUGGGGGGGUGACAAUAGGGUGCUGUUGGGGUGAUGAUAAAUAUGCGCCAGUUUUAGGACGGCAGUACGCAUGCGCCAGCUUUAGGACGCUAGUGCGCACGCGCCAUUUUUUUGGUGGUUUUUUUUUUUUAAGGAUGACAGUGCGCAUGCGCCAGUUUUAGGUCUCCAGUGCGCAUGCGCUAGUGGUUUUUUUUUUUUUUUUUUUUUUUUUUUUUUUUUUUUUGACGCCAGUGCGCAUGCGUCAGUUUUAGGUCGCCAGUACGCAUGCGUUAGUGCGGCACAGCAGUGAAUGCUACUUAUAGGCCGUGUAGUUCCGGACUAUUGUACCGAGGAUUAAGCAGAGCAAACCUGGGCGGAUUUGCCGUGCACAGCGACCACAACGUCCUUCUUGCCGUGCAUCCCUAACACACACACACACACACACACACACACACACACACGCCGUGCAUCCCGCUGCCUGCACUAACACACAAAUACACCACCGCAAUUCCCCCCAUUGGCCGCGCGGGGGCACAAGAGACCGCGGAAACGGCAACUCCGAGUGGAUUGACGCGCAGCCGCUGCCCAUUCCGUGCCCAUUCCGUGCUCAGUCCCUGCAGCCCCGCCCUCGGCGCAGAAAAAAAGCGAAGUGAGGAAAAGGAAAAACUUGAAAAAGAAAAAAAAAAAAAAAAAAAAAAGGAAAACUUCCCCCACCCCGCACUUGUGUGCUCAGUGCUUGGGAAUGGAAUGGCUGUCACUAAAUACAUUCGCAGCACAUUGACGGGCCUAUGCUUUUUUGUGUUUUUCUUUCAUGUCUGAGGUGUUGCAAAAGCUGGUACCAAUUGCACAGAUACAGAGAGAUGCAGUGACGCCAAGGAUGGCUUGGAAUCAUUAACACACUGCAGCCAGGAACCCUUUAGGAAUAAAAAAUAACACAGUAGUAACAGCUUCUGUACCUGCCCUCACCACUCUGAGAUUCCAUCCGGGUCACCCCAGGCUUGGAAAUCUCCACUGGAUCCAUUUGGAUAUUGAGCAAUUUGUCAUCAGUUCUUUUACUCACAACCGAUGCCAGGAUCAGCCUCAGCACCUUCCACUGCCCCCAGCACCACGACUCCGCUGUUCCAGUAUCAGUGCAAUUCCCAGGCACGGUUUCGAGGACCUGGUCUGCUUCUGAGCCAAAGGUAGAAUUAAUACAAAACAUAAGGUAUGCGUAAGUCAUCAUUAAGCAACUGCUCAGCAGCACCUUUGGGAAACUGAUAAUGGACUUGUAAUAACAGUCUGGCCACAGCAGCAUCAUACAAUGCAAUAUAAGAAUAAUACAAGAACACUUUAUGAGGAGGCAAGGAACUUUCUGACUUCUGUCUGGGACAUCCAGCACCAUCUGCCUGCAGACAUCUCCUUGGCAGCUGUUCUAAAUCCAGCUGUACAUUCUGCUCCAGAGCACAACUCAAAACUACAAAGGAAACAAAGGGAGUUCUACAGAGGCAGAAGAAGAAUGGUACGUCUCUUUCAGUAUUUAAAAUAAGCAAGUAAGAAAUCAACCACAGAAGCUAUUCCUAAAAUCCCCCUAUGGGGAACAGAGAGGCAGAGAAGAACUUAUCUGUGUUUACCUGAACUGCUGCUCCAUGGAAAAAAAACGAAAAGAAAAAUCAAUGUCUUUCAGCCUUUCCCUGUUUGAAAGAAUGUACCAUAUUCACGCCUUAAAAGCAUAAAAAAUAAUAAUACAAUGCAAUGAGAUCUGCACCACACACAAUCUCUUACUGGAGCUGUCACCACUUCCUCCCAACUCAGGCUUUCCAGCAUCUGAAGAACACAGAAUAAUUUACACCAUUCUCUUGUUUUCCUCCUGGAGUUCAUUUCAAUAAAUAGAAUCUUCGUCCAUAUUUGGUGCAGCCCGAGUGUCUUUCUCAAUGAGCUCACAACAAGCAUUAGCCCUGCUGCAGUACGGUUACGAACCCUGACAGGUGCUCAAAGCCACAGACCCCAUGAACAGCAAUCAGGACAGUCCCUGGGAACAAUGGGUGCGGCCCUACAGACACCCAUGGAUACACUCUCAAACAUCCAGAGAGCCAGGAGUAUCCAUUUCCUAUAGCAGAUGACAGGAGGGACACUGAUGAAAUUCUUUGGGUUCAUCCUAAAUAAGAUACAGCACAACAUUCUUCCAUUAGUCCUAAUGGGAUACCCGUACUGUCCACUCUCAAAUGUAAUACAUUAAGAAAGGCACCUUAUGUUUCUCAGUGACCUUCAAUAACAAAACCUGUUGAAGAAAGGGGAUAAUUAUAUGCAAAUUGCACUGAAGUAAUCAAGUGUGUGCCUACUGUGUUGCACUAUUAAAACACAUCUGGAAAAGCAUUAAGAUGCUGUUUCAACAGCAACUCCAACAAAGCUUUUUCACACCUUGUUUUUUGCACUCUAUGCCAACAUCCCCAUUCAAGCAUUUGACUGCAAAAUCUACCACUGCAAAGCUCUAAGAAACCUAUAAAAUGAUCACCUGCUGCUUCAGCCUUUUACAACAGAACCACUGCACUUAUUCCAGCUGUUGAAAUUAAAAGCAACAAGAGAAGCCUACAAAAAAUUCACAAUUGCAUAACAAUUUGAAAACAAAAGAAAAAAGGUCAUGUAACUCUUGGAGGGGGGGAGAAGCAAAUUAGUUUCUAUCGUGUUCCCUUUAUAGCAAUCAAAAACUUACAUUCUUGAAUAUUUUAAGUAU
Coturnix japonica (Japanese quail) is the source of this 3631-nucleotide non-coding RNA. Lineage: Eukaryota; Metazoa; Chordata; Aves; Galliformes; Phasianidae. The record is from RefSeq and is a predicted model, not a curated record.